AUUGAACGCUGGCGGCAGGCCUAACACAUGCAAGUCGAACGGUAGCACAGAGAGCUUGCUCUCGGGUGACGAGUGGCGGACGGGUGAGUAACGUCUGGGAAACUGCCCGAUGGAGGGGGAUAACUACUGGAAACGGUAGCUAAUACCGCAUAACGUCGCAAGACCAAAGUGGGGGACCUUCGGGCCCCACACCAUCGGAUGUGCCCAGAUGGGAUUAGCUAGUAGGUGGGGUAAUGGCUCACCUAGGCGACGAUCCCUAGCUGGUCUGAGAGGAUGACCAGCCACACUGGAACUGAGACACGGUCCAGACUCCGACGGGAGGCAGCAGUGGGGAAUAUUGCACAAUGGGCGCAAGCCUGAUGCAGCCAUGCCGCGUGUAUGAAGAAGGCCUUCGGGUUGUAAAGUACUUUCAGCGGGGAGGAAGGCGGUGAAGUUAAUAGCUUCACCGAUUGACGUUACCCGCAGAAGAAGCACCGGCUAACUCCGUGCCAGCCGCCGCAGUAA
RNAcentral lists this ribosomal RNA (504 nucleotides) under uncultured bacterium. Its description in RNAcentral is "partial 16S ribosomal RNA". It matches the Rfam family "Bacterial small subunit ribosomal RNA", at positions 29 to 523 of the family's 1533-position model. The record is from RNAcentral.